Molecule: ribosomal RNA, 253 nt
Filed under: uncultured prokaryote
Description: partial 16S ribosomal RNA
Rfam family: Bacterial small subunit ribosomal RNA
Source: RNAcentral
ACGAAGGGAGCUAGCGUUGUUCGGAAUCACUGGGCGUAAAGCGCACGUAGGCGGAUGUGUCAGUCAGGGGUGAAAUCCUGGAGCUCAACUCCAGAACUGCCUUUGAUACUGGGAAGCUUGAGUCCGGAAGAGGUGAGUGGAACUCCGAGUGUAGAGGUGAAAUUCGUAGAUAUUCGGAAGAACACCAGUGGCGAAGGCGGCUCACUGGUCCGGUACUGACGCUGAGGUGCGAAAGCGUGGGGAGCAAACGGGA